Molecule: ribosomal RNA, 564 nt
Filed under: uncultured bacterium
Lineage: Bacteria
Description: bacterial SSU rRNA
Rfam family: Bacterial small subunit ribosomal RNA
Source: RNAcentral
CCUACGGGAGGCAGCAGUGGGGAAUUUUCCGCAAUGGGCGAAAGCCUGACGGGGCAACGCCGCGUGAGGGAUGAAGGCCUCUGGGCUGUAAACCUCUUUUAUCAAGGAAGAAGAUCUGACGGUACUUGAUGAAUAAGCCACGGCUAAUUCCGUGCCAGCAGCCGCGGUAAUACGGGAGUGGCAAGCGUUAUCCGGAAUUAUUGGGCGUAAAGCGUCCGCAGGCGGUCUUGUAAGUCUGUCGUUAAAGCGUGGAGCUUAACUCCAUUUCGGCGGUGGAAACUACAAGACUAGAGUGUGGUAGGGGCAGAGGGAAUUCCCGGUGUAGCGGUGAAAUGCGUAGAUAUCGGGAAGAACACCAGUGGCGAAGGCGCUCUGCUGGGCCAUAACUGACGCUCAUGGACGAAAGCUAGGGGAGCGAAAGGGAUUAGAUACCCCUGUAGUCCUAGCCGUAAACGAUGAACACUAGGUGUCGGGGGAAUCGACCCCCUCGGUGUCGUAGCUAACGCGUUAAGUGUUCCGCCUGGGGAGUACGCACGCAAGUGUGAAACUCAAAGGAAUUGACGG